GAGUUUGAUCAUGGCUCAGAUUGAACGCUGGCGGCAGGCCUAACACAUGCAAGUCGAGCGGUAACAGGACUAGCUUGCUAGUUGCUGACGAGCGGCGGACGGGUGCGUAACACGUAGGAAUCUGCCCGGUAGUGGGGGAUAGCCCGGAGAAAUCCGGAUUAAUACCGCAUACGCCCUAAGGGGGAAAGAUGGCCUCUUCUCGAAAGCUAUCACUAUCGGAUGAGCCUGCGUCGGAUUAGCUAGUUGGUGAGGUAAAGGCUCACCAAGGCGACGAUCCGUAGCUGGUCUGAGAGGAUGAUCAGCCACACUGGGACUGAGACACGGCCCAGACUCCUACGGGAGGCAGCAGUGGGGAAUAUUGCACAAUGGCGCAAGCCUGAUGCAGCCAUGCCGCGUGUGUG
This 401-nucleotide ribosomal RNA is filed under the name uncultured Endozoicomonas sp. RNAcentral describes it as "bacterial SSU rRNA". It matches the Rfam family "Bacterial small subunit ribosomal RNA", at positions 9 to 407 of the family's 1533-position model. The record is from RNAcentral. Lineage: Bacteria; Pseudomonadati; Pseudomonadota; Gammaproteobacteria; Oceanospirillales; Endozoicomonadaceae.